UCCAGACUCCUACGGGAGGCAGCAGUGGGGAAUAUUGCACAAUGGGGGAAACCCUGAUGCAGCAACGCCGCGUGAGUGAGGAAGUAUUUCGGUAUGUAAAGCUCUAUCAGCAGGGAAUAGAAAAGAAGGUACCUGAAAAAGAAGCCCCGGCUAACUACGUGCCAGCAGCCGCGGUAAUACGUAGGGGGCAAGCGUUAUCCGGAUUUACUGGGUGUAAAGGGAGCGUAGACGGUGAAGCAAGUCUGAAGUGAAAGGCGGGGGCUCAACCCCCGGACUGCUUUGGAAACUGUUUGACUGGAGUGCAGGAGAGGUAAGUGGAAUUCCUAGUGUAGCGGUGAAAUGCGUAGAUAUUAGGAGGAACACCAGUGGCGAAGGCGGCUUACUGGACUGUAGCUGACGUUGAGGCUCGAAAGCGUGGGGAGCAAACAGGAUUAGAUACCCCAGUACU
This 448-nucleotide ribosomal RNA is filed under the name uncultured bacterium. RNAcentral's name for it is "partial 16S ribosomal RNA". It matches the Rfam family "Bacterial small subunit ribosomal RNA", at positions 330 to 794 of the family's 1533-position model. The record is from RNAcentral.